UCUACACCAGCCUACAGAGCGAGCACCUUCC
RNAcentral lists this non-coding RNA (31 nucleotides) under Mus musculus (house mouse). The record is from RNAcentral. Lineage: Eukaryota; Metazoa; Chordata; Mammalia; Rodentia; Muridae.